This 402-nucleotide ribosomal RNA is filed under the name uncultured bacterium. Its description in RNAcentral is "bacterial SSU rRNA". It matches the Rfam family "Bacterial small subunit ribosomal RNA", at positions 355 to 774 of the family's 1533-position model. The record is from RNAcentral.
UGGGGAAUCUUGCACAAUGGGGGAAACCCUGAUGCAGCGACGCCGCGUGAACGAUGAAGCCCUUCGGGGUGUAAAGUUCUUUCGACAGGAACGAUAAUGACGGUACCUGGAGAAGAAGCUGCGGCUAACUACGUGCCAGCAGCCGCGGUAAUACGUAGGCAGCGAGCGUUGUUCGGAGUUACUGGGCGUAAAGAGUGCGUAGGCGGCGAGCCAAGUUUGGUGUGAAAUCUCCCGGCUUAACCGGGAGGGUGCGCCGAAAACUGGUUGGCUGGAGUAUGGGAGAGGAAAGCGGAAUUCCUGGGGUAGCGGUGAAAUGCGUAGAUAUCAGGAGGAACACCUGCGGUGUAGACAACUUUCUGGACCAAAACUGACGCUGAGGCACGAAAGCGUGGGUAGCAAACA